GUCUCUGUGGCCGAGUGGUUAGGCAGCGGUCUGCAAAGCCGUGUACGCCGGUUCGAAUCCGGUCGGAGACUC
RNAcentral lists this transfer RNA (72 nucleotides) under Mycobacteroides abscessus subsp. abscessus. Its description in RNAcentral is "tRNA-Cys(gca)". It matches the Rfam family "tRNA". From Rfam's summary of the family: Transfer RNA (tRNA) molecules are approximately 80 nucleotides in length. Lineage: Bacteria; Bacillati; Actinomycetota; Actinomycetes; Mycobacteriales; Mycobacteriaceae. The record is from RNAcentral. RNAcentral also lists the same sequence under 1 other name.